UCAGCCAACACUCAAGGGGAAACCUGUAGU
RNAcentral lists this non-coding RNA (30 nucleotides) under Homo sapiens (human). Lineage: Eukaryota; Metazoa; Chordata; Mammalia; Primates; Hominidae. The record is from RNAcentral.